UGCCGCGGUUAUACGAGGGACUCAAGUUGAUAGACAACGGCGUAAAGCGUGGUUAUGGACUUUUCCCCAACUAAAGUUAAACACCUCCCAAACUGUUAUACGCAUCCGGGGCGCGGAAACUCUUCCACGAAAGUGACUUUAACAUUAUUCCUGAACCCACGAGAGCUAGGAAA
Molecule: ribosomal RNA, 173 nt
Filed under: Odontostomops sp. CBM DNA No. 2015-255
Lineage: Eukaryota; Metazoa; Chordata; Actinopteri; Aulopiformes; Evermannellidae
Description: partial 12S rRNA
Source: RNAcentral